RNAcentral lists this ribosomal RNA (301 nucleotides) under uncultured bacterium. Its description in RNAcentral is "partial 16S ribosomal RNA". It matches the Rfam family "Bacterial small subunit ribosomal RNA", at positions 509 to 807 of the family's 1533-position model. The record is from RNAcentral.
CAGCAGCCGCGGGAAUACAGAGGAUGCAAGCGUUAUCCGGAAUGAUUGGGCGUAAAGCGUCUGUAGGUGGCUUUUCAAGUCCGCCGUCAAAUCCCAGAGCUCAACCCUGGACAGGCGGUGGAAACUACCAAGCUGGAGUACGGUAGGGGCAGAGGGAAUUUCCAGUGGAGCGGUGAAAUGCGUUGAGAUCGAAAAGAACACCAACAGCGAAAGCACUCUGCCGGGGCGACACUGACACUAAGAGACGAAAGCUAGGGGAGCAAAUGGGAUUAGAUACCCCGGUAGUCCCUGUCUCUUAUAC